RNAcentral lists this ribosomal RNA (490 nucleotides) under uncultured bacterium. RNAcentral describes it as "partial 16S ribosomal RNA". It matches the Rfam family "Bacterial small subunit ribosomal RNA", at positions 30 to 507 of the family's 1533-position model. The record is from RNAcentral.
AUUGAACGCUGGCGGCAGGCCUAACACAUGCAAGUCGAACGGUAACAGGAAGCAGCUUGCUGCUUUGCUGACGAGUGGCGGACGGGUGAGUAAUGUCUGGGAAACUGCCCGAUGGAGGGGGAUAACUACUGGAAACGGUAGCUAAUACCGCAUAACGUCUCAAGACCAAAGAGGGGGACCUUAGGGCCUCUUGCCAUCGGAUGUGCCCAGCUGGGUUUAGCUAGUAGGUGGGGUAACGGCUCACCUAGGCGACGAUCCCUAGCUGGUCUGAGAGGAUGACCAGCCACACUGGAACUGAGAAACGGUCCAGACUCCUACGGGAGGCAGCAGUGGGGAAUAUUGCACAAUGGGCGCAAGCCUGAUGAAGCCAUGCCGCGUGUAUGAAGAAGGCCUUCGGGUUGUAAAGUACUUUCAGCGGGGAGGAAGGGAGUAAAGUUAAUACCUUUGCUCAUUGACGUUACCCGCAGAAGAAGCACCGGCUAACUCCGUG